GAUUCGGACGUCCCAGUAUUUUGGGUCCUCGAGACCUCACAUGGACGAGUCGAGGAAGUGCUAUAGAUACACACAUUUAUUUAUGUUUGGUAUAAACAGCGAAUGUGGACUAAUGUGAGUUUCCAAAAGGUAUAAUACUUAAAACUAGUUUUUUGCUGCAAUGACUGUAGUGAUUGGAUUUGAGGGCAGUGCCAAUAAGAUUGGCAUUGGGAUCAUCAGGGAUGGAGAAGUUCUUUCCAACCCUAGACGGACCUACAUUACACCUCCUGGAGAAGGCUUCCAGCCCAGUGACACAGCCAGACAUCAUCGCUCUGUUAUACUGACGGUCUUAAAGGAGGCUCUGGAGGAAGCAGCUAUAGAACCUUCUGACAUUGACUGCGUGGCGUAUACAAAAGGUCCUGGCAUGGGUGCCCCCUUAGUCAUAGUUGCUGUGGUAGCUCGCACAGUGGCCCAGUUGUGGGGGAAACCCCUCGUCGGUGUCAACCACUGCAUCGGUCACAUCGAGAUGGGCCGACUCAUCACUAAAGCCAACAACCCCACCGUGCUUUAUGUCAGCGGCGGGAACACGCAGGUCAUCGCGUACUCUGAGCGGCGGUACAGAAUCUUUGGAGAGACCAUCGACAUCGCGGUCGGGAACUGCUUGGACAGAUUUGCCAGAGUUAUCAAGAUUUCAAACGAUCCCAGUCCAGGCUACAACAUCGAACAGCUGGCCAAGAAAGGCUCUCAAUAUGUGGAGUUGCCAUAUACUGUCAAAGGAAUGGAUGUCUCAUUUUCUGGGAUACUGUCCUACAUUGAGGAAGCUGCUAAUAAAAUGCUUGGAUCCCGUCAGUGUACAGCAGAGGACUUGUGCUUCUCCCUACAGGAGACGGUUUUCGCAAUGCUGGUGGAAAUCACAGAGCGGGCCAUGGCUCACUGCGGCUCUCAGGAGGUUCUCAUUGUCGGUGGUGUUGGCUGUAACCUGCGUCUCCAGGAGAUGAUGGGGGUCAUGUGCAAGGAAAGAGGAGCCAAACUUUUUGCCACAGAUGAAAGAUUCUGUAUCGACAAUGGCGCCAUGAUCGCUCAGGCCGGCUGGGAAAUGUUUCGAUCCGGCCAAGUGACCGAGUUGGAGGACUCGUGGAUCACACAGAGAUAUAGAACAGAUGAAGUGGAGGUGACAUGGAGAGAUUAAUUGGCAGAAAGCAUCACAGACACUUUGAGGGAAAAGUUUUGACUCCAUCAGAUCUUCUCUCAGCUCAUCCAGCCUCUCACGCAGUUGGACCAUCUCCUCCUCUUCCUUAACACACACAGAAGAGAAGAUCUUGCCGUGUCCUGCAACAUAUCAACAUGUCAACUUACCGGUACGUUUGAUCCCGCGUCCGUGACGCCGAAUGGGUUCUGCGUAGAGGUGAGGACGGCGGGUCCGAAACUGAAGGCUGAGCCCUGGUCGGCCAGCAGGAGGCGACGGAACUCGUUGUGUUUCCGUUGGAGCUCUCGCAUUCUUCUGCGGAGCUGAGCGUGCUCCUCGGAGUGAAGUGGACGUCUGGAAACAAAGGCUUGGCUUCCAGUUUCAGCUCCUCCAUUUGAGCCUUCAACAGUUGGAUCUUAUGCUGCAAGCUCUUCUCUUUGUUCUCCGUCUGGGUUCUUCUCUGCAUCACAAAAGCUUGUGUUUCUCCUCCAGCCACUCGAUUCGAUUCUCUUCCACCCGCCUGCCGCAGGAACACAUUGCAGGAUGGACACCAUGACAAAAAAAAAAAAUCGAGGUAGUUUUUUUACAUACCGCUCUGCCUCAUGUUGGCUCCUCUCAGCUUGGGUUCGGGCAGUCCUCAGUUCCUCCCUCACUCCGUCCACUUUGGCUUUCAGGCGCAGAUUUGCUUCCAUCAACUCGGCUUCGGAGCGCGACAACGUGCCCAGCUCUGCACACAGCUCCUCGUUUUUCUGUUAUGAGAAAAAUCCUCAGCUGAUUGAAUAACUUCGCAUUUUGAGCGGGCACAUUCCAGUUUGACGCUGGCCACCUCCAUUUUGUGGGAAUGCGUCAGGCUUUCGAUCUGUCAGGAGCGCCGCAAAGCACAGUUGUCCAGUGAGCUGACUGUUCUGUUCGUGGCUCAGCCGGAGUUCGCUCUCCAUCCGCUCCAAUCGCGAGCGUAAAGAUUGACGCUCCGCCUGGAACGUUCAAACAACUUUCAGUUAUGUCUCACCGCGCAGCCAUGGAAGGCUGGAUGUUGCGACCUCCAGAGAUUUCAGAGCAGCCUGAGACUCCGCCAGUUGCCGGUUCUGAACCCGCUGAACGUUCUCCGCCUGCUGCUCCGAGUGGUCCUUCUGAGCUUGCAGCUCGGCCACCUCUGCCUGCAGAGCCUUCGAGCGCAAGACCUCUUCCAAUCUGCCGAAGCGUUCUCUGACUGGACCCUCCAUCUCCUGUUGCACCUGAGCUCUGAGCAACUCCAGACGCUGAGGAGUCAUCACCUGAAUUUCUCUUGUGCGCUCAGCUAACUGCAACUGGAGCCUCUCGAGUUGAGCCUGCAGAUGCCGUACCUCCUCUUGUACCUGGAUGAACUCCUCCUGCAGGCUGAGGAAAAAUGUCUCAUAGUUGCCUCGAUGGAGUUCACACUUGGUCCUCUCGUCCAUGAGCAUCUUCUGCAGCUCCAUCUCGGCCCCGGCAGACAAUCCCGGCAUGAUUGCGGACGUCCCCAGCGGAAAAGACUGCUGGAGGGCCGAGGAGCUCAUGUCACCUCUAAUAGACGUCAAAAAAAAGGACAAAGGCAUUAUUUACUCACUUGGGGGAAAUUGAAGACCAUCAUCAGAGAGAAGCCUUGUCCUCCUUUUCUUCUAUACAUCCAAGUUCUUCCAUUUGCUGGUGCUGGAGUUUUUCCAGAUCAUCUACUCUCUGACGAAGUCGGGCCAUUUCUCUCUGCUCCUCCUCCUCUUGCUAAACAUAGAUGACGAAUUUAAAAUGGGCAAACUGGCACAGAUAAUGGGCAACAUGGUUGGUGAGACGUACUUGGACAUUGGAAAGCAUCAUCUCGGACCCGAGGAACAGGGCAGGGCGGGUGGUCGAGGUGAUUUGGGCCGUGCCGACGCUGAAAGAACCGUUGCUACACAUCAGAAGGCGUCGGAAUUCGUUGUGCCGCUGCUGAUAGUCCAUCAACCUUCUGCGGAGGUCACAAUUGCCUUCAAAUCAGAUGGUUGUGGAAAUGAUCAGGCACGUUUUUUUCUUCUCGGACUCACUUGUUGGCUGAAGCAGCAUCCUGUUUGAGUUCAUCUAUUUGCUCCCUCAGCAUUUGGAUUGUACUAUGCAAGCUCUGCUCUUUUUUCUCCUCCAGGUCUCGCCGCUGCGCAACACAACAAAACGCACUUUUGCUCUAGAACUGGGAGCAAAUAAAUUUUGACGUGGAAGGACCACCUUCUCCUCGGCAGACGCUGCUCUCUGCAGUUUGUCUUUCAGCUGGGUGUAUUUAUCUCCCAGCUUGGCUUCUCGCUCCUUACUGUCCUCCACCAGCCUGGGGGAGGAGCAAGAAUUGGGGUAAGAGAUUUUCACCGACAUGCUGAUUCAAUCGCACCUGUCUGCCCCGCGACGGAUGUUCUCCUCCCGCAUGAUGUCCGCUUUUUCCCUCAGACGAUCAUUUGCUUCCAUCAGCUCCGCUUCAGACCGUGACAGCGCCCCCAGGUGGGAGUAGAGUUCCUGGUUUUUCUAUUGAAGAGGAAGUAAAAACAUUUUAGAAACUCACCACUCGUCUAAAAAUUAUUGUGUUUGUAUAUUUUGAUUUAUCAUAAUGAAGUUUGUCUCCUCACCUCCUUUAAGUCAAUCACUUCUGCUUUGUGUCUCUCCAGCUCCUCCAGAUGAGCACUUUGCUGCUUUAAUUUAGCUCUGACAAGAUCAAAUGUUUGACAUUCAGCCACGUUUAGAGUUCUUUGGGUUGAAACCAGGACAAAAAAAAAAGUUGUCCAGUGAGCUGGUUGUUCUGCUCCAGGCUGAGAUGAAGUUCGCUCUCCAUGCGCUCCAGUCGCAUCGCCAUGCACUGGCGCUCUGACUACAAGCGGCUUCCAUUAAAACAUCUAACUCACCUUCCGGGAUACUAGCGGUCUCACCUCCAGCGACUUCACCAUGGCCUGAGACUCGCUCAUCCACCUCCGCCUGGAGACCUUUCAGCAACAUGGUGAGCUGCGUUUUCUCCUUGAGCAGAAACUCCACUUGCUUCCUUUCGUGCAGCGGAUCUACGUUCUUGAACUGCGCCGCCAGAUUUUCCUUCUCUUUCUUCAGAUGAGCAAUCUAACAGGUUUCACACUUCCCCUGAAGAUCAGACAGCAUGUGAUGAAGCUCCAUCCCGGUCGCAGGAACCAUCGGCAGGUUGGGAGCGUCCAUUUUGAUAUAAACUAUAAAGUAAUAAAUGAGGGAGGCAAGCUUAUGCUAUGUUUUGUGUCCAAACAUCAAAGUUAAUAAGGUGACAUGGGAUCAGAGGUAUGAUGUCAUAAACAGUGGUGCGUUUGAGUGCCUUCUGGUAAAUGGGAAUUCUCAACUUCAUAUGUUGAAAGUGCAAUUUGUUGAAACGUAACAAAUAAUAACAGGAAUAUAAUGCUGUCAAGUGGUUUUAUCGUUGCUUGCAAGUCAGCGAGUACGUUGAUUAAAAAAAAAAAUCCAAUAAAAAAUAACGACGCAUUGAUUCUUGAGUUGUGCAAUAACUUGCCAAUCGUAACUUUAUUCCCUCAUAAAACAAAAAUGAUGCAAUGAUCAUAAAUAAAACACCAAAAGAGGUUUAAUGGAAAAAAAUUCGAUUGUUGAAACAUAAUGUGCACAACAGCAAGUCUCCAAAUUUACAGGGAAUCAUUGUAAACAGAUUUAUUACAAAAAAAUGAUAGAAAGUGGGCCAAAAAAAAAUAUCACUAAGCCGGCUGUAAAAACAACUCUUGGUACUUGGAUUUGAUUAAUAAUAAAAAAUAAAA
RNA transcript from Syngnathus typhle (broad-nosed pipefish), 4914 nucleotides. It is a transcript of the gene named O-sialoglycoprotein endopeptidase, with no coding region annotated. NCBI's taxonomy places the organism in Eukaryota, Metazoa, Chordata, Actinopteri, Syngnathiformes, Syngnathidae. The transcript has 24 exons. The record is from RefSeq and is a predicted model, not a curated record.